ACGGGUGGGUAACGUACCCUGUGCUUUGGGAUAGCGUCAUCCCGACUUCGGUCGGGAUUUCCGAAAGGGGCGGUAAUACCAAAUAAUAUCAUUUGUCUAUAGGCGGAUGAUCAAAGAUUUAUCGGCAAAGGAGCGGCCUAUCUCCUAUCAGCUUGUUGGUGAGGUAAUGGCUCACCAAGGCUAUGACGGGUAGCGGGACUGAGAGGUUGACCCGCAACAUCGGGACUGAGACACUGCCCGGACCUCCACGGAGGGCUGCAGUAACGAAUAUUGCGCAAUGGGCGAAAGCCUGACGCAGCGACGCCGCGUGUAGGAUGAAGUCUCUCGGGAUGUAAACUACUGUCAGGGGUAAGAAAGUGUACUUCGGUACAUUGAUCGAACCCAGAGGAAGUCACGGCUAACUUCGUGCCAGCAGCCGCGGUAAGACGAAGGUGGCUAGCGUUGUUCGGUAUUACUGGGCUUAAAGCGUGUGUAGGCGGAAAGAUUAGCGUCUUGUGAAAGCCCCCGGCUUAACCGGGGAAUUGCUCGGCGAACUGUCUUUCUUGAGGCAAGUAGGGGUGCAUGGAACUCUUGGUGGAGCGGUGGAAUGCGUAGAUAUCAAGAGGAACGCCAGUGGUGAAGACGGUGCACUGGGCUUGUCCUGACGCUGAGACACGAAAGCGUGGGGAGCGAACGGGAUUAGAUACCCCGGUAGUCCACGCUGUAAACGAUGUCUACUA
This 719-nucleotide ribosomal RNA is filed under the name uncultured bacterium. Its description in RNAcentral is "bacterial SSU rRNA". It matches the Rfam family "Bacterial small subunit ribosomal RNA", at positions 113 to 818 of the family's 1533-position model. The record is from RNAcentral.